AUUGAACGCUGGCGGCAUGCCUUACACAUGCAAGUCGAACGGCAGCGCGGACUUCGGUCUGGCGGCGAGUGGCGAACGGGUGAGUAAUACAUCGGAACGUACCCUGUUGUGGGGGAUAACUAGUCGAAAGAUUAGCUAAUACCGCAUACGACCUGAGGGUGAAAGUGGGGGACCGCAAGGCCUCACGCAGCAGGAGCGGCCGAUGUCUGAUUAGCUAGUUGGUGGGGUAAAGGCCCACCAAGGCGACGAUCAGUAGCUGGUCUGAGAGGACGAUCAGCCACACUGGGACUGAGACACGGCCCAGACUCCUACGGGAGGCAGCAGUGGGGAAUUUUGGACAAUGGGGGCAACCCUGAUCCAGCAAUGCCGCGUGUGUGAAGAAGGCCUUCGGGUUGUAAAGCACUUUUGUCCGGAAAGAAAUCGCGCUGGUUAAUACCUGGCGUGGAUGACGGUACCGGAAGAAUAGGCACCGGCUAACUACGUG
Molecule: ribosomal RNA, 484 nt
Filed under: uncultured bacterium
Lineage: Bacteria
Description: partial 16S ribosomal RNA
Rfam family: Bacterial small subunit ribosomal RNA
Source: RNAcentral